AUUAUACAAUGAUCAUGCCGACGGGUAAGAGGUAGGUUGCGCGGUUCGUCAAAUAUAUUUGAAAAUUCAGCAAGCAAAGGAAGUAGAUUUGGAUCUUCAAAUUCUAUUGGCUCUCCCUUAGUUUGCUACUCAAGUUGUACCAAAAAUUCGCUGCAUGCUUUAUGCAAAACAUUCUCCAUUUGUUGUGUGCAAAUCGUUGUUAUGUCGCCCCCACGUUUCCCGUGCAAUGUCACCUGUUUCUCCUUACUGUAAAAUUUCAUAAUUAGUUU
Molecule: long non-coding RNA, 269 nt
Filed under: Musa acuminata (dwarf banana)
Lineage: Eukaryota; Viridiplantae; Streptophyta; Magnoliopsida; Zingiberales; Musaceae
Description: long non-coding RNA (MACU_LNC003989)
Source: RNAcentral